AAGGCGGUGGACGUUUACGGUUCCUAUGGUUUGUUGGGCUGAACCAAGCCUUGGUCGCUUGGCUUGCCAUUUUCGGUACCGAUUGGAACGUUCCCUAGANUNNCCUCCCCCCGACCCCGGCCAGGUUCAUGAGGGAAGGAAGANCCCCAUCCAACCCUUCCCNGGNUGGCGNUNAUUAUCAGUGCCNGNAGNUUCCGACUGAAANGGCAUGAGNCNACNCAUUAUUGANUNNUCCUCNUAGCCCCCCAGCUUNCCUUNUGUUNCGGUUGUNUUUUUNGGAAUGUNGCNGAUACANUUCCCCCNGAAACAGCUAUGNCCAUGAUUCCCCAAGUNAGAAUUANCCCUCNCUAAAGGACUANUCCUGCAGNUUNAACGAAUUCCCCCUUAGAGUUGAUCAUGGCUCAGAACGAACGCUGGCGNCAGGCUUAACNCAUGCAAGUCGAACGAAGCCUUCNGGCUUAGUGGCGGACGGGUGAGUAACGCGUGGGAACGUNCCCUUUGCUACGGAAUAGCCCCGGGAAACUGGGUUUAAUACCGUAUAUUCUCUACGGAGGAAAGAUUUAUCGNCAAAGGAUCGGCCCGCGUUGGAUUAGGUAGUUGGUGGGGUAAUGGCCUACCAAGCCCGCGAUCCAUAGCUGGUUUGAGAGGAUGAUCAGCCACACUGGGACUGAGACACGGCCCAGACUCCUACGGGAGGCAGCAGUGGGGAAUCUUAGACAAUGGGGGAAACCCUGAUCUAGCCAUGCCGCGUGAGCGAUGAAGGCCUUAGGGUUGUAGAGCUCUUUCGCUGGGGAAGAUAAUGACGGUACCCAGUAAAGAAGCCCCGGCUAACUCCGUGCCAGCAGCCGCGGUAAUACGGAGGGGGCUAGCGUUGUUCGGAAUUACUGGG
RNAcentral lists this ribosomal RNA (889 nucleotides) under uncultured Pseudomonadota bacterium. RNAcentral describes it as "bacterial SSU rRNA". The stretch from base 380 to 889 matches the Rfam family "Bacterial small subunit ribosomal RNA", at positions 1 to 558 of the family's 1533-position model. Lineage: Bacteria; Pseudomonadati; Pseudomonadota. The record is from RNAcentral.